This 149-nucleotide long non-coding RNA is filed under the name Pongo abelii (Sumatran orangutan). RNAcentral describes it as "lincRNA". The record is from RNAcentral. Lineage: Eukaryota; Metazoa; Chordata; Mammalia; Primates; Hominidae.
GCCUUUUGCCUCCUGCCAUGAUUCUGAGGCCUCCCCAGCCACGUGGAAAUUUCAUUGCAUCUCUAACUAUGAAGCAUACAGUGCCCAAAACAGAAUGUCAUGGGAGAGGGGAUUCAGCCAAAACAGGAGAACAAGCAGCAUAUGGGUCA